This 422-nucleotide small RNA is filed under the name Pan troglodytes (chimpanzee). RNAcentral's name for it is "processed transcript". The record is from RNAcentral. Lineage: Eukaryota; Metazoa; Chordata; Mammalia; Primates; Hominidae.
AUGGGUUGCCUGUGCAAAUUCAUGGGGAACUGGUCUGAAACAUGACGUGGAAAUUCAGGCUGUGACAUCAAAACGUCACCCCCCAGUCGAGUCUAUUCUGUGCUAUUCUGACUCCAGUCAGCCUUAUUGGUUCCAGCCAGUUUCAGCCAGUCAGCCAGUUUUGUUGCAAGCAGAGAGAAUUAUAACAAGUUGUUUCUUCAUCUGGCUUCUUGCAAGAUGAGACCCAUUGGGCAUGAUGGCUACCAUCCCACCUCUGUAGCUGAGUGGCUGGAUUCCAUUGAACUGGGCGACUACACCAAAGCCUUUCUAAUUAAUGGCUACACUUCGAUGGACCUGUUGAAAAAAAUCUGGGAGGUUGAACUUAUUAAUAAAAUCACUCUGGGAGCUAUGUGAAGGAUCGAUUGGAGACUGGGAAACCAGGU